Molecule: ribosomal RNA, 301 nt
Filed under: uncultured bacterium
Lineage: Bacteria
Description: partial 16S ribosomal RNA
Rfam family: Bacterial small subunit ribosomal RNA
Source: RNAcentral
CAGUCGCCACGGGAAUACGGAGGGGGCUAGCGUUGUUCGGAAUUACUGGGCGUAAAGCGCGCGUAGGCGGCUUGGUAAGUUAGAGGUGAAAGCCUGGGGCUCAACCCCAGAAUUGCCUUUAAGACUGCCGAGCUAGUAGGUGAGAGAGGUAAGUGGAAUUCCGAGUGUAGAGGUGAAAUUCGUAGAUAUUCGGAAGAACACCAGUGGCGAAGGCGGCUUACUGGCUCAUUCUAGACGCUGAGGUGCGAAAGCGUGGGGAGCAAACAGGAUUAGAUACCCCCGUAGUCCCUGUCUCUUAUAA